UGGGGAAUAUUGCGCAAUGGGGGAAACCCUGACGCAGCGACGCCGCGUGGAGGAUGAAGGCCUUCGGGUUGUAAACUCCUUUUGUAGGGGAAGAUAAUGACGGUACCCUGCGAAUAAGCCACGGCUAACUCUGUGCCAGCAGCCGCGGUAAGACAGAGGUGGCGAGCGUUGUUCGGAAUUACUGGGCUUAAAGGGCGAGUAGGCGGUGGAGCAAGUCUGAGGUGGAAUCCUACGGCUUAACCGUAGAACUGCCUUGGAAACUGUUUACUUGAGUCAGUGAGGGGAGGGCGGAAUUCCUGGUGUAGCGGUGAAAUGCGUAGAUAUCAGGAGGAAGGCCUGUGGCGAAAGUGGCCCUCUGGCACUGUACUGACGCUGAGGCGCGAAAGCGUGGGGAGCAAACAGGAUUAGAUACCCUGGUAGUCCACGCCCUAAACGGUGGGCAUUAGGUGUAGGGCUCGUAAGGGUUCUGUGCCGAAGGGAAACCAUUAAAUGCCCCGCCUGGGGAGUACGGCCGCAAGGUUAG
This 523-nucleotide ribosomal RNA is filed under the name uncultured bacterium. RNAcentral describes it as "bacterial SSU rRNA". It matches the Rfam family "Bacterial small subunit ribosomal RNA", at positions 355 to 897 of the family's 1533-position model. The record is from RNAcentral.